This 565-nucleotide ribosomal RNA is filed under the name uncultured eukaryote. RNAcentral describes it as "bacterial SSU rRNA". It matches the Rfam family "Eukaryotic small subunit ribosomal RNA", at positions 556 to 1119 of the family's 1831-position model. The record is from RNAcentral.
CAAGUCUGGUGCCAGCAGCCGCGGUAAUUCCAGCUCCAAUAGCGUACGUUAAAGUUGCUGCAGUUAAAAAGCUCGUAGUUGAACGUUCGGGUUCCGCGGGACGGGGCCGCCCCGCGAGGGACGGCGCCGCCCCGGGGCUCGUGAUAUCUCAUCUCGCCGCCCGUCGCGAGGCGGACGGAGGGAUGGAUGAGGUUACCUGGAAAAAAUCGGGGCGAUCUAGGCGGGCGAACCUCGCCAACGAACGAUCGGACAUGGGAUAACGGAAGAGGGCGUCGGCUCGACUUCGUCGGUUCCUCGGGCCGAGGCACGUACGGUGAAUAGGGACGGUCGGGGCCGCCCGUACCGGGUCGUGAGAGGUGAAAUUCUAGGAUCGACCCGAGACGAACCGCCGCGAAAGCAUUCGGCAAGGACGCUUUCAUUAAUCAAGAACGAAAGUCGGGGGAUCGAAGACGAUCAGAUACCGUCGUAGUCCCGACCGUAAACGAUGCCGACCGAGGGCCCGGAGGAGUUACGUACGACCCUCCGGGCCCUCCCGCGAGAAAUCAGGAGUAUUCGGGUUCCGGGG